AUUGAACGCUGGCGGCAGGCCUAACACAUGCAAGUCGAGCGGCUGAAGGGAACUUUCUCCUGGAUUCAGCUGCGGAUGGGCGAGUAAUGCCUAGGAAUCUGCCUGGUAGUGGGGGCUAACGUCCGGAAACGGGCGCUAAUACCGCAUACGCCCUGAGGGAGAAAGUGGGGGAUCAUCGGACCUUACGCUAUUAGGUGAGCCUAUGACGGAUUAGCUAGUUGGGGGGGUAAAGGCCUACAAAGGCGACGAUCCGAAACUGGUCUGCGAGUCUGAUCAGCUCACCUGGAACUGAAGCACGGUCCAGCCUCCGCAGGGAGGCAGCAGUGGGGAAUAUUGGAGAAUGGGCGCAAGCCUGAUCCAGCCAUACCGCGGGGGUGAAGAAGGUCUUCGGGUUGUAAAACCCUUUUGUUGGGAAAGAAAAGCAGUAGGUUAAUACCUGGCUGUUCUGACGGUACCAAAAGAAUAAGCCCCGGCUAACUUCGUG
This 484-nucleotide ribosomal RNA is filed under the name uncultured bacterium. RNAcentral describes it as "partial 16S ribosomal RNA". It matches the Rfam family "Bacterial small subunit ribosomal RNA", at positions 30 to 507 of the family's 1533-position model. The record is from RNAcentral.